CGGCAUCUGUAAGUACUGGUGUGUGGUGCACUGAACAGCGGCAUCUGUAAGUACAGUGUGUGGUGCACUGAACAGCGGCAUCUGUAAGUACUGGUGUGUGGUGCACUGAACAGCGGCAUCUGUAAGUACUGUGUGUGGUGCACUGAACAGCGGCAUCUGUAAGUACUGGUGUGUGGUGCACUGAACAGCGGCAUCUGUAAGUACUGGUGUGUGGUGCACUGAACAGCGGCAUCUGUAAGUACAGUGUGUGGUGCACUGAACAGCGGCAUCUGUAAGUACUGGUGUGUGGUGCACUGAACAGCGGCAUCUGUAAGUACUGGUGUGUGGUGCACUGAACAGCGGCAUCUGUAAGUACAGUGUGUGGUGCACUGAACAGCGGCAUCUGUAAGUACUGGUGUGUGGUGCACUGAACAGCGGCAUCUGUAAGUACUGUGUGUGGUGCACUGAACAGCGGCAUCUGUAAGUACAGUGUGUGGUGCACUGAACAGCGGCAUCUGUAAGUACAGUGUGUGGUGCACUGAACAGCGGCAUCUGUAAGUACAGUGUGUGGUGCACUGAACAGCGGCAUCUGUAAGUACAGUGUGUGGUGCACUGAACAGCGGCAGUAUGAUGACUGGGGGAUGCCAAGAACCCAUGGGUUGCAGAAAGGAAUAGGACAGAUUUAAGAUGGGUACCUUCGCUAUGCCCCAGCUGCUCCAUGAGUCUAGACAGUACUGGCGACAAAGCCCAAGUGUCCAUUUUGCUCUAACUUGGGUUUGCUUAGAACGGGGACAGAGUAAGGUUUUCGUGGUAUGAGUUCUUAGUAAGGCAGACCAGCAUGGUCAGCCCAGGUGAGUUAUGAGGCGCGUUCCCAUCAGAAAGCUGCUCAGGCACUUCACGGUUACCCAGUGACUCGUCCACCACAUCCAGGGACAUGUGAGCAGCACCGGCACUGUUGCUAACCCUUCCCCGGUGCCCAAGAGCUCACUCAGUCAGUGACCAUGCUGAGCACCCAUGGACCUGUCUCUUCAAUUCUGUACAGGACUCAGGUGCCUCCUUCCUCCCCUAGCCACCCCUCAUAGAAGCUGGCCUUCUAGUAAUGUGCUGUAUGAUGCUGGCAAGGUGUCGAAGCCUGUAAGGAGGGUUUCCCCGGUAAGGACAGUCACCCCCAUCCUGCUGGAUCCCACAACCAGACUAGCGCAAGCUAUGGCUUCAAGAACUUUGACCACUGCCAGGCAACUGCUAGGACCAUGGCUAUGUAUCACCACAGCCCACGGCCUCGCAUGUAUCUUCCUGGACUCUAACCAUGGCGCCGUCCAUUUCAACUGUGUGAACUAGGGCAGGGCUCAGCUGCUCUGCACCUAACGUUCCACCUUGAAACUGGGCAAACAGUCUGAGUCCAGGUGGGACACACCUGUGAGAUGCAGCUGUGAUAAGCCCAAGUGUUGGCGUCACCUGACUGAAGUGAGCUCUGGGGGGUUCUAGGCCACACUUUGUACUUCUCCCCGGUCCCUGCAGAGUCUGGUCAAAGGCACUUGUUGCAGGUGCCACAAGAGUGAUGCUACUUAAAGACUCAACAGAUACAGUCCCUGAGAGUGUGGAUGGGAACCCUUUAAGUACAGCAAAGAUGAAUGUUUCUAGACUAGAAAACCAUUUCAGUCAGGCAUGGAAGGCACCAACACGCACACCAAAUCCUGCCAGAAGGGCCUCACUUGAGUCCUUGACUUAUCAAGGACAGUGCCAUGCAGGGGCAGGGACGGCUAGACAGUUGGCUAGACAGCACAAAAAACUUGGGGCUAAUCUCCCCAAAUUAGAGUAAGAUCCACCCAGAGGAGACCAGCAAUGUAGGCAGAGCACCAGUAAAGAAGUCACAGGGACCCUCCCGACUCUCCAGGCACUUCACAAGUGUCUGACUCAACAUUCAAAGGAUAAAGAGUGAA
Molecule: long non-coding RNA, 1919 nt
Organism: Alexandromys fortis (reed vole)
Lineage: Eukaryota; Metazoa; Chordata; Mammalia; Rodentia; Cricetidae
Exons: 3
Source: RefSeq, a predicted model, not a curated record